This 484-nucleotide ribosomal RNA is filed under the name uncultured bacterium. RNAcentral's name for it is "partial 16S ribosomal RNA". It matches the Rfam family "Bacterial small subunit ribosomal RNA", at positions 28 to 507 of the family's 1533-position model. The record is from RNAcentral.
AUUGAACGCUGGCGGCAUGCUUUACACAUGCAAGUCGAACGGCAGCGCGGGCUUCGGCCUGGCGGCGAGUGGCGAACGGGUGAGUAAUGCAUCCGAACGUGCCCAGUAGUUGGGGAUAGCCCGGCGACAGCCGGAUUAAUACCGCAUACGACCUGAGGGUGAAAGCGGGGGACCGAAAGGCCUCGCGCUAUUUGAUCUGCCGGUGACGGAUUAGCUAGUUGGUGGGGUAAAGGCUUACCAAGGCGACGAUCCGUAGCUGGUCUGAGAGGACGACCAGCCACACUGGGACUGAGACACGGCCCAGACUCCUACGGGAGGCAGCAGUGGGGAAUUUUGGACAAUGGGCGCAAGCCUGAUCCAGCCAUGCCGCGUGCGGGAAGAAGGCCUUCGGGUUGUAAACCGCUUUUGUUCGGGAAGAAAUCCUCUGGGCUAAUACCCCGGGGGGAUGACGGUACCGGAAGAAUAAGCACCGGCUAACUACGUG